UGAUAUAUCCUUCAAUCAGUUAGGAGGGCUAUGUACGUUAUGCUUUCUUGAGCAGGUUGAUCGCCUCAUUGGCAAACAUCAUCUCUUUAAACGUAGUAUCAUACUGAUUAAGGCAUGGUGCUAUUGUGAGAGUCGAAUUCUCGGUGCCCAUCACGGUUUGAUAUCUACAUAUGGUUUGGUGACCUUAGUUCUUUUUAUCUACGUGUCAUUGUUUCAGGUGAAAGGAGAGUGAUACUAAGGGACCACAGUAUGCAAACAACACUUCAAAACUUGAAUCUGAUCUCUCAAGUCAGUGGAGAUCGCUCAUUCACAUGGAGGAUAUCUUUGUAAAUGAAGGCAACCACUUUACCCUGCUCAGACUGGUGUCAUUGGCUAUGGAAAUCCGACUAAACGAGCUCGUUCUUUGUCAGCUUCUUAUUAAAGAGGGAAGCCUAGUCAGAUUUUUUGGGUGCCCUAUAACUCAGGGUAUGAAAGCUUGAUUCAUGCAUAUAUUUUGUU
Molecule: long non-coding RNA, 498 nt
Organism: Rosa chinensis
Lineage: Eukaryota; Viridiplantae; Streptophyta; Magnoliopsida; Rosales; Rosaceae
Exons: 3
Source: RefSeq, a predicted model, not a curated record